AGGCCAUGGUGAGGACACAUACGAAUCAAUUCCUGAAACCUAUGCCAUGCUUCAUAGAGGCUCUCUCCAUCAUAUUGUGCAAACCUGGUUAUCUUGUCCCUAUACUC
This is a small nucleolar RNA of Lolium rigidum, 107 nucleotides long. The record is from RefSeq and is a predicted model, not a curated record. Lineage: Eukaryota; Viridiplantae; Streptophyta; Magnoliopsida; Poales; Poaceae.